UAUAAACACGCUGAUCCAUCUUCCCCUAGCCUACCCAGUAACAUCACGUUAACCAGUACACGGAGCUCAGAUGGGAGGGCGCAACAGCCCCAGAUCGUGGCUGAUUUCAACAGAAAAACCACCCAACAGUCCAAGAGACGCAGCCGUGUCUACUCAUCCAGCCCACGCGGCACAACAUUGUGUCGGCGUCACCUGUUGUUUUCAUCGACACACGGAUUGAAAAACAAAUAUGAUGAAGCAAAAAAAAAAAAGCCUCCGAGUCAUAAAAGGAAAAAACGAAUAGCUGUUUAAAUCCCGACGGCGUCUACUGGAAAUUAAAUGACAAUCCCUUCCUCCUCUUCCUGCCUCGCCUGGGAGGUGGAGGGAAUGUUUAUCAUGUCGUCAUGUUGCCGUGAUUUGAGAGAGAGAGAGAGGAAAUAAAAGAUAUGUGACCUUACUUUUAGAUGAGGAGCAGGGCCGCUGCACAUUAAAUGUGUCACAUAGCAGAGGUCUGUUGGCUUCCCAACCUCCUGAGAGAAAACUUCGGUGCAGCAACAGGUGGCAUGUUUUUUCUUUUUUUUUUUUUUUCCCGGGCCGAGAUGCUGAGGAGGAGAUGGACGUGCAAGGAAGUAGGGCGUCAUUCAGCACCGAGACACUGGACAGCUCCCACGUCGAAGGGUUCGUUUCUCUUUAGCUGCGAUCGGAGUAACAGGUUUAUUCGUCGUUUUACAGCUCACAUUUUAAAUCAUGUCAACGUGUCCUGUGAAUAUUAACACAAUCUAAUGGUCAGCAUUCAAAUGUCCCUGCUGCUUGGAAACUAAAUGGACGAUUUUUGAGAGGCAGAUGCUUGAAUGUGAAGCAAAAAAAGUAUUUUUUUCAAUUGUCUUUAAUCAACACUAUACAGCAAAAUGACUCAAGUGAAUAUUAUUGAUUAUCUCCUCUUGGUCUAAAUAGAGUGUUGUCUCUGCUCAGCACUCCUCUUUUCUCUAGUUUACACUCACAGACCCCCCUUUCCCUCCUUCCUUGCUUCCUUCCUUCCUCUCACUAAACUGUCCCCAUCUUCCCAUCCCCCUCUUCCACUGACUCCCAGUCUUGUUGCAUAGCUACCAGCUCAGAAACAUACUGGAGAUGCAGGACAAUCCGUCUGUCUCUUUUCUCUGCCUCUUCCUCUUCCAGUCCAAAUGAGACUUAUUGGAAAGACGGCACAUAUCACUGAGUUGACGACCUGCAUUCACAUUUCCAUUUUCUCAUUCUAAAUGGGG
Anarrhichthys ocellatus (wolf-eel) is the source of this 1241-nucleotide long non-coding RNA. RefSeq lists it as uncharacterized. The record is from RefSeq and is a predicted model, not a curated record. Lineage: Eukaryota; Metazoa; Chordata; Actinopteri; Perciformes; Anarhichadidae. The transcript has 2 exons.